AACCACUUCGGUGGUCAUCCGUAAAAAUUGGAACGAUACAGAGAAGAUUAGCAUGGCCCCUGCGCAAGGAUGACACGCAUAAAUCGAGAAGUAUCCCACUUUGUG
Molecule: small nuclear RNA, 105 nt
Filed under: Phytophthora infestans T30-4
Lineage: Eukaryota; Oomycota; Peronosporomycetes; Peronosporales; Peronosporaceae
Source: RNAcentral